This 513-nucleotide ribosomal RNA is filed under the name uncultured bacterium. RNAcentral's name for it is "bacterial SSU rRNA". It matches the Rfam family "Bacterial small subunit ribosomal RNA", at positions 28 to 533 of the family's 1533-position model. The record is from RNAcentral.
GAUGAACGCUAGCGGGAGGCUUAACACAUGCAAGUCGGGGGGCAGCAUAGGGUAGCAAUGCUCUGAUGGCGACCGGCAAACGGGUGAGUAACGCGUAUGCAACCUACCCUGUACAGGGGGAUAACCCGGAGAAAUUCGGACUAAUAUCCCGUAAUAAUAUCCGGAGGCAUCUUUGGAUAUUUAAAGUUCCGACGGUACGGGAUGGGCAUGCGUAACAUUAACUGGUUGGUAAGGUAACGGCUUACCAAGGCUAUGAUGUUUAGGGGUCCUGAGAGGGUGGUCCCCCACACUGGUACUGAGACACGGACCAGACUCCUACGGGAGGCAGCAGUGAGGAAUAUUGGUCAAUGGGCGCAAGCCUGAACCAGCCAUCCCGCGUGCAGGAAGACGGCCCUAUGGGUUGUAAACUGCUUUUCCAGGGAGAGAAACUUACGCACGUGUUGCGUGACUGACGGUACCCUGGGAAUAAGCAUCGGCUAACUCCGUGCCAGCAGCCGCGGUAAUAGUCACGUC